Molecule: long non-coding RNA, 859 nt
Filed under: Felis catus (domestic cat)
Lineage: Eukaryota; Metazoa; Chordata; Mammalia; Carnivora; Felidae
Description: lncRNA (ENSFCAG00000044557.2)
Source: RNAcentral
GACACACGUCCUCAUGCUGAGUUCCCGGCAGAAGGGGGACGGGAGGACAGUCGGGCUUUGUCCUCCCGCCCAGGCACGUCCUUGCCCUGGCACUGGGCAGAAAGGGAGGGCCGAACCCUGCCCGCCAGGCUGGCCCUGCAGGGGACUCUUCCUUUGUGAGCAGGGCAGUGUGGCCAGAGAGAGGGUUCUCUGGCCUUCGAGGUUGCCACAGGUCGCCGCAAGGGGGAGACCUUGGACGUGCCCUGAAGGCGUUCCAGCAGGUGCCAGGCCAGGCCCUACAGAUCCCCCCUCUUCUGACCAUUUCUUCGGUGCCGGCUGCUCGUCCAUCACAUCGGCCAGGAACCUUCCUGGAAUCCGGAAGAAUUCCCUGUGGUUCUCGGAGAGGUGGGGAACUUUCUUAGGACCACCCAGCUUGUAAUUAGCAAGCCAGGUUUGGAAUCGGAUUUUCCAAUUCACCAAAUGCUGCUGGUUUACCCCUCGAGGCAUCGUUUGAAUUGCAAAGCUUUAUUUUAUAGUCUUGGGUGGUCCUCAGACCAGACCACCUCAGGGGAUCUGGUGGAAAGGAAGCCUCUCCACCCGUCCCUGGGACUCAGAACCGGGGGUUUGAUCCCAUCCCCAGGUGACUCUAGGCACAGGCGCGAUUAGACCAGGGACAGGCCAGCUCCAGACACAGGUCGGAUGGGAGGAAGGCGCUGGAGUCAUUGCAAAGCCACAGAAAAACAGCACCUUGACCUGGGGGCAGCCUCCCCAAGCCAAGUGGGAUAUUUAGCGAGACCCUACGCUCUGAAUUAGAGUUUUAUCAAAUUCGAAGGGCAGUUACAGGUGUUUUUGAAUAAAACUGGGAAAUCCAUUUUUAACA